Molecule: ribosomal RNA, 253 nt
Filed under: uncultured bacterium
Lineage: Bacteria
Description: partial 16S ribosomal RNA
Rfam family: Bacterial small subunit ribosomal RNA
Source: RNAcentral
UACGUAGGUGGCAAGCGUUGUCCGGAUUUACUGGGCGUAAAGAGCGCGCAGGCGGUCGUUCAAGUCGCGUGUGAAAGCCCCGGGCUCAACCUGGGAAUGGCAUUGGAAACUGGCGGACUCGAGUGUGGCAGAGGGGGGUGGAAUUCCGCGUGUAGCAGUGAAAUGCGUAGAGAUGCGGAGGAACACCGAUGGCGAAGGCAGCCCCCUGGGCUAACACUGACGCUCAGGCACGAAAGCGUGGGGAGCAAACAGG